UUGCCUUUUGUCGCAGAAGACCUAACCUUUACUUUACCACUCGAUCACAACCCCUUUGCCCUAACUUUGAUGGCGGCCCGAUCCAAAUCCUUUGCACUAGCUUUGGCAGCGGCGCAGAAUCUGCGAUUCGAGGACGGAGGACUUCGGUUAGGGUGAUUUCAAUCCAGGUGUAUAAUAGACGUGUUUGAGAGACACUCGACGUCUUUGUCGGCUUUUGUUUGAUAUACCUACACCUUUGAUUUUAAUUAGUAAUGAUAACAUUAGUAUA
Long non-coding RNA from Zingiber officinale, 268 nucleotides. RefSeq lists it as uncharacterized. The transcript has 2 exons. The record is from RefSeq and is a predicted model, not a curated record. Lineage: Eukaryota; Viridiplantae; Streptophyta; Magnoliopsida; Zingiberales; Zingiberaceae.